AUUCAGGCCCCUUUGCAGUUACAAUAGUUGCUUUUUUGACAGGCUGCGAAAAUUUUCCUGAGAAAUGUAAGGAAGAGAAGGGAAUUGAGCAGAAGCAAAACGCUGACAAAGAACAAUAGUGCACCAGAGAAACAAAUAGGCAAUAUUUCCUUCUCCCACACUAUUUGGCGUCUGAUGACCUCACACUGGCCACAGAAAGAAAUCACCUUCUUUGGAGAAUGAUGUCGUAUAUUUCUUUGACACUGGAAACAAUGUGCUUCUUUAUUCAAGUCAGUACUGAUAACACCGUAUCUGUU
This 296-nucleotide long non-coding RNA is filed under the name Gopherus agassizii (Agassiz's desert tortoise). Its description in RNAcentral is "lncRNA (ENSGAGG00000010752.1)". The record is from RNAcentral. Lineage: Eukaryota; Metazoa; Chordata; Testudines; Testudinidae.